CUUUGCGUCACAUAUAACGAUCGGUCCGUGUACACUACCGGUUGCGCGUGCUUUGGGGAUGCAAGCCACGUGCUAAAGGGAACUUUCAAUAAAUAUUCAAGUUUUUCGCGGUUCAGAGGAAAACUCUGCGUUCUUUGGGAUUGGCUAGUUAACGGGCGGCGCGCUCACGAGGCCUUUGUAGCUUAUCGCAAGAACUUGUACCAAGACUGGACUAUUCGCAGCCUCAAAUUCAGCUCGUUGUAUAUCACAAUGCACAGCCGAUGCCAUGGGAAGUUCCUAACGGAGAGCAACCGCGAGGUAUCCUGAAGCGUCAUCAAGGGAGGGAUAGCCGUCCCAACUUUGUUUUAUCAAGGACUGCUCGACUAGAAUAAUCAUAGCCCCCCAAACAAACACAUGGUUUCUGGUAAGAGACUUGCUCUUAGCUGCCGUGCGCCCCGAAGAACUCGAGGAAAUCAGAGACGUGUGCGAGUUUUCAAUAGCGGCCAAUAAAAAAGAUCUGCUACUCGAACAUUCGUGGGGAAGUUUCUGGUCUUUUUCAAAGAAUAGAGCAGCGUCCACGUUGCAAGAGGGCAGUGUCGAGGG
This is an RNA transcript of Zophobas morio, 582 nucleotides long. RefSeq lists it as uncharacterized. The transcript has 6 exons. NCBI's taxonomy places the organism in Eukaryota, Metazoa, Arthropoda, Insecta, Coleoptera, Tenebrionidae. The record is from RefSeq and is a predicted model, not a curated record.